RNAcentral lists this ribosomal RNA (253 nucleotides) under uncultured bacterium. RNAcentral's name for it is "partial 16S ribosomal RNA". It matches the Rfam family "Bacterial small subunit ribosomal RNA", at positions 524 to 776 of the family's 1533-position model. The record is from RNAcentral.
UACAGAGGGGGCUAGCGUUGUUCGGAAUUACUGGGCGUAAAGGGCGCGUAGGCGGCCCGCUAAGUCGAACGUGAAAUCCCCGGGCUCAACCCGGGAACUGCGUCCGAUACUGGCAGGCUUGAAUCCGGGAGAGGGAUGCAGAAUUCCAGGUGUAGCGGUGAAAUGCAUAGAUAUCUGGAGGAAUACCGGUGGCGAAGGCGGCAUCCUGGACCGGCAUUGACGCUGAGGAGCGAAAGCUAGGGGAGCAAACGGG